This 20-nucleotide non-coding RNA is filed under the name Arabidopsis thaliana (thale cress). Lineage: Eukaryota; Viridiplantae; Streptophyta; Magnoliopsida; Brassicales; Brassicaceae. The record is from RNAcentral.
UCAAUCUCGGGUAUAGCAAU